This 567-nucleotide ribosomal RNA is filed under the name uncultured bacterium. RNAcentral's name for it is "partial 16S ribosomal RNA". It matches the Rfam family "Bacterial small subunit ribosomal RNA", at positions 355 to 914 of the family's 1533-position model. The record is from RNAcentral.
UGGGGAAUUUUGGACAAUGGGCGAAAGCCUGAUCCAGCAAUGCCGCGUGUGUGAAGAAGGCCUUCGGGUUGUAAAGCACUUUUGUCCGGAAAGAAAUCCUUGGCUCUAAUACAGUCGGGGGAUGACGGUACCGGAAGAAUAAGCACCGGCUAACUACGUGCCAGCAGCCGCGGUAAUACGUAGGGUGCAAGCGUUAAUCGGAAUUACUGGGCGUAAAGCGUGCGCAGGCGGUUUGCUAAGACCGAUGUGAAAUCCCCGGGCUCAACCUGGGAACUGCAUUGGUGACUGGCAGGCUAGAGUAUGGCAGAGGGGGGUAGAAUUCCACGUGUAGCAGUGAAAUGCGUAGAGAUGUGGAGGAAUACCGAUGGCGAAGGCAGCCCCCUGGGCCAAUACUGACGCUCAUGCACGAAAGCGUGGGGAGCAAACAGGAUUAGAUACCCUGGUAGUCCACGCCCUAAACGAUGUCAACUAGUUGUUGGUGAUUCAUUUUCCUUAGUAACGUAGCUAACGCGUGAAGUUGACCGCCUGGGGAGUACGGUCGCAAGAUUAAAACUUAAAUGAAUUGAC